Ochotona curzoniae (black-lipped pika) is the source of this 2101-nucleotide long non-coding RNA. RefSeq lists it as uncharacterized. Lineage: Eukaryota; Metazoa; Chordata; Mammalia; Lagomorpha; Ochotonidae. The transcript is spliced from 5 exons. The record is from RefSeq and is a predicted model, not a curated record.
GGUCUCCCAGGGAAGUGUUCAGGACUCAAGUACUUGGACCAGCACCUGCCAGGGUGCAUAUUAGCAGGAAGCUGGAUCAAAAACAGAGCUUGGACUUGGAAGAAACCACUGGGAUGCUGAUGUCCAAGUGUAGGCUUAAUGUGCUGCACCACCGUGGCCUCUUUGGAUGUGGGUUUUUAUAUGGAUUUCUCCCAUUUUUGACAGGAAAAGGGAAAAGAGCUCUACCAAAGCCAAUUAGGUCUAAAAGUCUGAUUAUAAGUAAAAUGGUGAUUUCUUUUUUUUGCAUUUCGAAAUUAGACAAAUGUUUUCCCCAUUUCUUGCGGCGGGGUUGAGGGGAGGGUAUUCAGCUUUUAUCGCCAGAAGUGGUUGUGCAAUGCUGGAGCCCUGUGGUUCAGAGUGUUCUGUAGAAUCCGAGAAAUCCUGGAGGACUUGGUCUUAUGGAAUGGUUUGCUUCUUGCCAUCCUCUCGGUUGCCCUCCAAAUGACCUUGAGGAUUUGUGAGAUGAGUUCUGACCCAGGGUCUGGGGAGGGAUGAAUGUGCAUGAAUACGGCAUGAACUGGAGAAUACUAGAUUUGUUACCCAGUGAGAGCAUCAGGGGACUGGGCCAGCCUGGGCAAAUCUGCGCCACCUCCUGUUCUUGUAAAUAGGUUCUAUCUGGAUGUAGCCACACCCUUUCACUUAUACAUCACCAUGGUUACUUGCAGCUACUUGGGCAGAGUUGCACACCCUAAUUGCCUGAAAUAUUUGCCAUCUGAACUUCUACAGAAAAAUCUUGCCAUUGUGGUCUACAGUAAGUAUGUGAUGGACACCUGGAAAGCCUGGUUCUCUGAAUAAAGCAGUCAUUCUGGAAAUCAGAUACUGAUUACAAAAAUCUUUUGAGAUACAGCUGAACUUCAUCUUGUUGGAUCAUCAUGUCAUGGGUUCGGUGGCUUAUUCAGCAUUGCUCAGGGAAAAGAAUUCCUCCUCUGUUUCUCCUCAUUCAAGGAAGAAGCCUGAGUGAGUGAAUAGUGAGUCUCUCUUCUAAAGGUCUUCUUCUAACUGUAAGAGAGCCAACAGCAAUGACAAGCAAAAGCAAGAGCGCUCUUGAAAAUGAGAUGUUUCAGAGCAAUUACAAAGAGCAGAGGAAUGAAAUCAUCUUUUCUUUGAAUUGUUGGAUUACAAAAAUUGCCAUCUGUUCUACGUCCUUCUCUUUGUAAAAGAUGAGUCAACCAUUCCGAUACCUCAGUAAGACAACCCAGUGACUUUGCUUAAUCUAGAAUUCUUUAUGAGGACUGAAGUGUUACCCAGAGCCAAAAGGAGCAAAAAUCAAUGCAGAAUGGAUAAGAUCUGAAACCACAAGCCUCCGAGAAGACGUAGAGGAGGAAGAGCUCCUGGACAUUUGCCUUGGCAAUGAUGGCUUUGGAUACCAUGCCAAAAGUCCUGGCUGCAAAAGCAGAUAAAGUGUAAGACCACAUCAAGCUCAGAAGCUUCUGCCCAGCAAAGAGAUCCAAGAACGUGAAAAGGCAACCUACUGUCAGCAAAGAAAGAUUCACAAAGCAUGGAUCUGAUAAGGGACUAAUACCUAGCACAUAAACAAAGUCUUCCCACUCAGUAGCAGAAAACCAAAUAAGUCAUACUCCAAAUUAAGAAAUGGGAAAAGGAUCUAAACAGACAAAAAAAUGACCAGCACAUAUUGGGAAAAGUGCUCAGCACCACUUGAGAUUGCCAGGGCAAUGUCACCUCAGCUUUUAGGAUGGUUCUUAUCCAAACAAUAAGAGACGGCAAGUGUUGACAAUGAGCAAAGGGAAGACUGGAACACCGCGGAUGGGAAUGGGCAGCCAUCGGGGAAAACAGUGUGGAGGUUCCUACAGAAAUUAAAAACAGAACCACUAGGACAGGCCUUUGGGCCAAAUGACUAAAAUGUCACCAUCCCCUCUCAGAGCACUGGGGUUCAAUUUCUGGCUUCCUGAAAAUGUGCACCCUGGGAAGUAGCAGUGGUGGCUCAAGUUGCUGGGUUCCUGCCAGCCACUUGGGAGGUUUGGAUUGAGGUCUUGGCUGCUGGUUUUGAUCUGACCCAGCCCCAACUAUUGAGGUGAACCAGCUUCCUCUCAAAGUAAGUAAA